CCUACGGGGGGCUGCAGUGGGGAAUAUUGGACAAUGAGGGGAACCCUGAUCCAGCCAUGCCGCGUGUGUGAAGAAGGCCCUCGGGUUGUAAAGCACUUUCAGUGAGGAAGAACGCCUGGUGGUUAAUACCCAUCAGGAAAGACAUCACUCACAGAAGAAGCACCGGCUAACUCCGUGCCAGCAGCCGCGGUAAUACGGAGGGUGCGAGCGUUAAUCGGAAUUACUGGGCGUAAAGCGCGCGUAGGUGGCUUGAUAAGCCGGUUGUGAAAGCCCCGGGCUCAACCUGGGAACGGCAUCCGGAACUGUCAAGCUAGAGUGCAGGAGAGGAAGGUAGAAUUCCCGGUGUAGCGGUGAAAUGCGUAGAGAUCGGGAGGAAUACCAGUGGCAAAGGCGGCCUUCUGGACUGACACUGACACUGAGGUGCGAAAGCGUGGGUAGCAAACAGGAUUAGAUACCCGAGUAGUC
This 465-nucleotide ribosomal RNA is filed under the name Vreelandella stevensii. Its description in RNAcentral is "partial 16S ribosomal RNA". It matches the Rfam family "Bacterial small subunit ribosomal RNA", at positions 338 to 795 of the family's 1533-position model. Lineage: Bacteria; Pseudomonadati; Pseudomonadota; Gammaproteobacteria; Oceanospirillales; Halomonadaceae. The record is from RNAcentral.